GACGACCGCCGGCGGCGUGCUCAACAUAUGUAAUUCGAACGGAAAGGCCCUGCUUGCAGGGUACUCGAGUGGAGAACGGGUGAGUAACACGUGGGUUAUCUGCCCCGCACUUCGGGAUAAGCCUGGGAAACUGGGUCGAAUACCGGGUAGGAGCCAUCAUUAGUGUGAUGGUUGGAAAGCUUUGUCGGUGUAGGAUGAGCUCGCGGCCUAUCAGCUUGUUGGUGGGGUAGUGGUCUACCAAGGCGGCGACGGGUAGCCGGCCUGAGAGGGUGGACGGCCACAUUGGGGCUGAGAUACGGCCCAGACUCCUACGGGAGGCAGCAGUCGUGAAUAUUGCACACUGGGCGCAAGCCUGAUGCAACGACGCCGCGUGGGGGAUGACGGCCUUCGGGUUGUAAGCUAGUUUCGCUAGGGACGAAGCUUUUUGUGCCGUUACCUAGAUGCGAAGCAACGGCUAGCCACGUG
This 465-nucleotide ribosomal RNA is filed under the name uncultured bacterium. RNAcentral describes it as "partial 16S ribosomal RNA". It matches the Rfam family "Bacterial small subunit ribosomal RNA", at positions 28 to 507 of the family's 1533-position model. The record is from RNAcentral.